UUAGACUAAAUCAUAAGGCAAACAAAAGUACAAAAAUCCAAUCUUCAUUUUACAAUUUACAAGAUUGCCAUUCGAAAUUAAUAAUAGUAAAGAGUGGUCUCUCCGAAGACGACGACCCCAAACAGAUUCCUCUCUUUCACCUCCGUCUCCGAAAACGUCUUUUCGUCACCUCAACUCCAACUCGCCGUCAUCUCCGUAGUUCAAGAGGAACCCUAAAUCCGAUUUCAUCUAAGUCAAAUCCGCCUUUAAAUCGAAGAUAAUUAAAAGUGUAAGUCCUAAAUAUAUGCAAUUCUAAGUUUUUAUGACAUAUUCAUAACAUGUAUUCUUUGAUUGAAUUUUAAAUUUUGAAAACCUUAAUUACCAAUUUUCUCAUCCCUUAAUGGGUUUUCGGUUUUAAUUGUGUUAUUCAUUGUUGAUUUUUGUUAGCUCUGAUUUCCAAUGAGAUAACAACUCCUUCAAAUAUGAAUACAAAAGAUCGGUUCUGGAUUUUCCAUAAGUUUGGUUAUGCUUUUCUUGACACUUGUUUUAAAAUAUUUUGAUCUGUACAAAAUGGAGGUUUCCACUUUGAUUGCGGUUUACGCCAACUGGGAGUUUGCAAAGGUUCGAGACAUUGGAUGGUGAUGGGUUGGAGUGAUCUGGCUAUACAGUAUUGUAACAUACUUCCCACAAGACGUUUUCAAUCAACUUGUUUGAGAAAAGACCGCUUUCACAAUGAAAAAAGAUUAUGGAAAAGAACAGAAAGAGAGACUCAGUGGACACACACUUGCUCAAAGGGCACUUCACGGUUGGUAGCCAAAAGAAGCUGUUAACAUCUUCCCUGAGAAAGUAAGUUACACAGAAUUGUCUGAGAUCGCAGAGCAAGCCAAGAGAAGAACUGAGAUGGCUCGGUAAUGCUUAGGGAGCUGCUUGGUUUAAAAAAGCGCUCGCUUACAGCGCCAUGACGCUAGGUGAGGUGUGGUGAUGUCCUCAUCGCCUCAGCACUUCAAGGUGUGGAAACAUACACAAGGCGAGGGCUUUCUUUCUAAGGUUCAAGAUGCAUAAAGCGAAGCCUUACUGAUUUUCAGUCAAUUCGUGUUGGUUUUUCAAAAUUAAACUAGUAAAGAUAAUUACAAACCCCAAGAACACAUACCCUAAGUUUAAAGUUAUGGUUUUUAGCUGUUGUUCUUCUCUCUGUUCACGUGAAUUCAAGGUUUUGAUGUUUAGCGUUU
Long non-coding RNA from Raphanus sativus (radish), 1208 nucleotides. RefSeq lists it as uncharacterized. Lineage: Eukaryota; Viridiplantae; Streptophyta; Magnoliopsida; Brassicales; Brassicaceae. The transcript is spliced from 2 exons. The record is from RefSeq and is a predicted model, not a curated record.